Molecule: ribosomal RNA, 447 nt
Filed under: uncultured bacterium
Lineage: Bacteria
Description: bacterial SSU rRNA
Rfam family: Bacterial small subunit ribosomal RNA
Source: RNAcentral
CGCCCAGACUCCUACGGGAGGCAGCAGUGGGGGAUAUUGCACAAUGGGGGGAACCCUGAUGCAGCGACGCCGUGUGGGUGAAGAAGCGCCUCGGCGCGUAAAGCCCUGUCAGCAGGGAAGAAAAUGACGGUACCUGAAGAAGAAGCCCCGGCUAACUACGUGCCAGCAGCCGCGGUAAUACGUAGGGGGCAAGCGUUAUCCGGAUUUACUGGGUGUAAAGGGGGCGCAGACGGCGAUGCAAGCCAGGAGUGAAAGCCCGGGGCCCAACCCCGGGGCUGCAUUGGGAACUGCCAGGCUGGAGUGCCGGAGAGGCAGGCGGAAUUCCUAGUGUAGCGGUGAAAUGCGUAGAUAUUAGGAGGAACACCAGUGGCGAAGGCGGCCUGCUGGACGGUGACUGACGCUGAGGCUCGAAAGCGUGGGGAGCAAAUAGGAUUAGAUACCCUAGUA